RNAcentral lists this long non-coding RNA (35655 nucleotides) under Coffea arabica (coffee). RNAcentral describes it as "long non-coding RNA (CARA_LNC004430)". Lineage: Eukaryota; Viridiplantae; Streptophyta; Magnoliopsida; Gentianales; Rubiaceae. The record is from RNAcentral.
AGUAGAAUUUGAGAAGUGGCCAGUUGUGCGCAUGUUUUUGUGUUUUUUUUUUUCCAACUCAUUUUUCAGUUUAACUCACACUAACAAAAUUUAAUCAGUAGUCUUCAACGUACCAAAGUAGGAAUACUCACCCAAAUAAAUUCGCAUGCCGUUUCAAACUUUUCCUUCUAUUGGUUGUACUACGUACAAACGAAUGAUCGGGGGCCAGAUGACUCAUCUUUUUGAUAAGUUAGGCUGUAGGUUGCUUGUACCUGCUGGCUUAGAUUCUUGAUGGAGACCAAUACCAGUUACAAAGAUGAGCUAGUUUGAUUGCUAGGCUUCCACUCGCAGCAUAUGUGUAAGAGUCAAUUUUUCUGAUGGAUAGAUGACAAUGAUAUGUAAUGCUAUGGUCCUCCUUUCAUUCUAUUGGGGGCUGGAUGGCUACUUUCUCUUUCUUUCUUGUGGCCUAUGUUUCAUUUUCUUUCAUUGCUUUUCCACUUUUUCUUUGGAAGAAAAAAUUAGCAGCAAGGUAAAUGAGUUUAAAAAAAAAAAAUGUACGAGUUAUUUUUUGAGCUUCCUGAAGAAGUAAAUAGCGCCGUGUGACCUAAAGGAAGUAAAAAUGUGGAAGCUCAGUGAUUUCUGGUGUUUAUUUAACAACUCCCUUGGGUUGUUUGAUCAAAGCUCUUAGCCAGGGCAUUUUUGUGUGUUCUUUGAUGCAAUUAGAGAGUUUGUUUCCCGGAAGCUUUCCAGUCUGUGUAAAGCCACCUUCCCUGGUGUCUCUGUGGAUCUUAAUCUUCUGAAGAGAGAUUGGGCAUGUAAUACUUCAGAAAGGUGCAGGGCUAGUGUUGUUUUCCCCAACUUCAUUUUGAUAUUCACAAGGUGAUGGGAAAAAUAAUUGUGACACUUGCACUUGGUCAUUGAAGGGAGCCCUUGUAUGAUGAGCUAAGGCCGCAAAACUGUGAUGAAUUAACUGACAUGAUUAUCCUGUGUCCAAGGAUCUGUCUAGGAGAGCAUUGUGCUUUCCAUGUUUGUUUUAGGAGAAACUCUGACGUUGGGUAAAAAGUUUUGUCCUGUUUGUUAUACAUCUAUAUAUCCACAUACUGAUAUUUAUUGUUUGGAUUGAAUGGCCUAGGAGGCCUUUGACUAGUGGCUAAGAUAGAGGUCCUAAGAAUUAGAGGUCCUAAGUUCAAUUCCCCUCCUCCCUCCCCGCAUCAUAAAUCCCAGCCUUCCCCUGCUAAAAAGGAAUUGAAAACAAUAAUGUUUGGACUGAAUAUAAAAUUUUUUUACUUGCACGAGGAAUACCAAGAUCAAAGCUGUCUGCCUUCAAAAACUUCAGAUGAUGGUCAACGUGUAUCAGACUACUUAGUUUUUUCAUCAACUUUUAUAAUCAUGUAUGUUAAACCUGGUGAGAGACCUUUAAUUUCUUGAGAUAAGCAAUUGACUUAGGACUUCAUUCAUCUCUGUUGGAAAGCCUCCUGUACAAAUUGCAAUAUAAAUUCCUGUUUGAGAUGCAUUUACGAGUAAAUAAGAUAUCAAAAAGGAUGCUUUCAUGUGAGUUUUGUGGCUGAAGUUUGCUAGUGGAAAUUCUGAGGCGCUAGACCUAGAUUGUCUCAUUUCUUCUUGCUUAGAAAAAUGAUGUGGGCUUGUAUUUUUAUUUUUAUUUUUUAUAUAUUUCCACUUAUAAUUCCUUAAUCACAAUACAUCGCUGCUCAGUUGGUGGGAAAUAUUUAGUGUGUGGACCCACACCAUAAGAGUCCAUGCACUUAAAGGACACUCGAUAUAGUGGAGGUGGUCUUUCAAGGUAGGUAAAAUCUGUCUUGAUAACACACUUGUUAUAACUUGGCUGCAGUCUUCAUUUCUGUGGGGAUACAUAUUUUCAUCGGUUAUAGGAGGAGCCUUGGUGGACAAGUAUGGAGGAAAGAGAGUGAUUGCUUGGGGUGGAGCCCUGUGGUCGUUGGCCACUCUCCUCACACCAUGGGCUGCAAAUCACUCCACAGCAAGCCUCUUGGCUGUACGUGCUUUCUUUGGACUUGCUGAAGGAGUAGCUCUACCCUCAAUGAACACUCUUUUAUCAAGGUAAUGCUAAUUUUCCCUUUGGUAUCUGAUAUAGAAGGUUAAGUUCGGGAAGAAAAUGCUGUGGUUCUUUCUAUAGUUCUUGAAUAUCCAGCAACUGCAAUGAGUUCAACCACACAUGAUUUUGCAAAUGUGGGAUUUUAUUAGACAUUCUGUAUUUGAAAUGUGUAUUCUAAGGAGCAUUUUGCUGUUUGCUUGGUAAGCUUUUUAGGAGAAUAAAGCUGAAAUUUCAUAUAGCCAAUAAUCCCUAUUAGAUUCUCUACUUCUAAUCUAGCAGCUUUUAAUUAUGACAUGUAAACCACCAGCAUGCUAUCUGAUUUUUUUUUAAUCUGUUAUCUUUUUUACAGGUGGUUUCCAAGCCAUGAGAGAGCUACUGCUGUUGGUAUAUCUAUGGGAGGAUUUCAUCUAGGAAAUGUUGUAGGCUUAGUACUAACUCCUCUAUUGAUGUCAUCCAUUGGGAUUUCUGGUCCGUUCAUCCUCUUCUCAUCUCUUGGACUACUCUGGCUGACUACAUGGGUAUAUCGUGUUACAAAUGACCCACAAGAUAGCAGCACUAUCAGAAAAUCAGAAUUGCGUUUGAUACAAGCCGGAAAAUCUGAUUCUUCGGCAACUAAGGGCAAGCUUCCACCUCUAGGCCUCUUAUUGUCAAAACUGCCCGCAUGGGCUAUUAUUCUUGCUAACGUUACUAACAACUGGGUAAGCACCCAUUACUUUCUUAUGUAUUCUUUUUAUUUCUCUUGGAAUUUUGGAUCUGCACUCUGUUAUGAUUGUUUGGACUUGAGGUAUGAAUCUGAAGAAUUCUAUAAAAUGCAGGGAUACUUUGUUCUGCUCUCAUGGAUGCCUGUGUAUUUCAAAACUGUGAGUUCCAAAACUUAGGUUUCUCCUUGUAAGAUUUUUCCUUGCCCUCUGAUUCAGUGUGCCUUCUUUAUUUUUCUUUCUGGGUAUGAUAUUCUGAUAUCUUGAUGAGGGAGCAAAGGAAAACUAAUCUCACCAAGCCUUUCAAGGUGUUGAAAGGAUUCUUUAGUAUGAGAUGGUUACCAUUCUCACUUACUUUCCAUGCCUUUUCUUUGUCUCUUCGGACCGAACUGCAUUUAGUCUCUACUUUGAUUUGCAGCCUAACCAUGUUAAAGCUGUCUGUAGAUUGUCCCUGCUGUGUUAACAUAGCUAAUUAUUGUGCUGAAGGUUUUUGGUGUGAACUUGAAGCAAGCAGCUUGGUUUAGUGCAGUCCCCUGGGGAACAAUGGCAAUUUCAGGCUACAUUGCUGGGGCAAUUUCAGAUUACUUGAUCAAAGCAGGAUAUUCAUUGACAUUAGUCCGAAAAAUCAUGCAGGUAGCUUUAUUUUCUUUGAAGAUGAUCUAGAUUUUUAUCAGUGCCCAGAUUGAAACUUAAAUACUUCCAAGACUUGAGUGAACUCAGAAAUAAGAGGACUUAGGGAAUGAAUAGACGCCCUAUACUUGAUUAUAAGUCAGCUUCUCUUGUUGAGCGAUUGCAGGCAAAAAAAAAAAACGAAUGAUUGGGUUUUAGUGAAUGUUUAAGGUCUACUGAAAUUUGUUGGAUGGCAUCCAAUGUUAACUUUCUCAUUUUUUUUGGAAAAUUCUUGUUAUUGUAUGUUUUAUAGAUGUUAUCUCCAACAACAUUUUUCUUUGCACUGUCAGUCCAUUGGUUUCAUUGGGCCUGGAGUAUCAUUGCUCUGUUUGAACUUUGCCAAGACACCGGAGGUUGCAGCCGUAUUCAUUACAGCAGCGCUGAGCCUGAGCUCUUUUAGUCAAGCUGGCUUUUUGCUGAAUAUGCAGGUAAACUUGAAUAUGCAUAGUUUGUCAGACUGAAGAAUUGGAAAGUUCAACAGUUGCACUUUAGCGUCAGUUUCUCAGCAUUUAAACUGGCUUUUGUGGUUGUUUUUCUAGGAUAUCGCCCCUCAAUAUGCUGGAUUUCUUCACGGUAUGUCUAUGAAACCACUCCAUUGAUGCCUUGUUCUGAUACAUUACCUCUGACACCACUCCGUUCAUGCCUUAUUCUAAUUCACUUUGUGUAGAUCGAUAAUUUGCUCCUUUCUUGAUGAAAAUUAACAGGGAUAUCAAAUUCUGCUGGAACUCUGGCUGCAAUAAUCAGUACAAUUGGAACAGGAUUCUUCGUGCAGUGGCUGGGAUCUUUCCAAGCAUUUCUAACCGUCACUGCGUGUCUGUACUUUGUUACCACCAUAUUUUGGAAUCUUUAUGCUACUGGCGAGAAAGUCUUCUAGGCAAAGCAGCUCCAGUAUUCAUACUCCAUUAUUCAUAGACUUGCCAAAAUGGUCUGGCGAGCAAAGCAUCAAAACAGAUACAAAGAUUUUUCCCCAGACUUUGUGCUCGAAAAUCAUUUUGCUACACAGAAGAAUUCUAUUCUAUUGCCUCAAUGUCAAUUAUUGUAAGGUCAUACCACAUUAAGUCUUGGAAGAAUGCUGAUAAUUUAUUUUAUUAAUUUUUUUUUUCAGAUUUUGGUAGGUGAGUUGAAAGGGCCUAGGUUGUUUCUAGUGACGUUGUAUUAUAUGUUAGAGAAACUGGACUGCCACCUUGUCAAUAGUAAAUUAAUGAAGAUGUUUAUUCACCCAUUUUCCCUUAAUUGUUGCCCUCUGAUUCCUUUUUUUUUUUUUUUGGUUGAAUCAAUAUUACUAGAUUAUUAUAGACAUUGUGAUGGCUCCUUUCUUGCUGCAUUCGUCUAACUGGCAAGAAUACACUAAGUUUAGCUACCUGACAGAGUUGGCCAGGCAGGUAAUUACACGAGUUUUUGGUUAAAAUAAUCUACUUUUCAAAAAAUAAUCCCAAAGUAAUGCUCUUUCAGUUUUUAUUCCCUUAUUAAUCUAGUUAUUGCCAUGUCGACUCCCCAUCAAAGGAAAAAAAAUAACUUGUAAAUCUUUUGUUUAGAUAUUACACAGUUUUUCUUUAUUUAGUGCCUUAAGGACAUUCUGUAAACAAAUUAAAAAAGGAAAGUGGAUCCAUAAUUAGUGUUUUAAAAUUGUUGAUCACCCUCCAAAUUGCAAUGAUUUUGCCGAAGAACCUUUUUUUUUUGCUGCCAUUAUUCCUCCCUAGCUUUAUUCUUGAUUAUUAUAUCACAAGUUCCUUUCUUUUUUUCUUGUUACUUGCAAUUUUUUAUACGGUAGUCUCCUAACUUUGUAAAUUUUAAGAAGUUUGCAGAAAUUCAAAUUGUUUGAAGUACGAGUAAACAUUUCAAGAUACAUAAUAAUCAUAGUAUACGUGAACUAUAAAAAUUCCACUAUAAGGGGAAAGAAAAUUUGAAAAAAAAAAUUCUCUUGCAUUUUUUGACUUAUCAAAAGAGAAUACAUCCCAAAAAAAUAGGAGAGGGAAAAUAUAACUAGGUCAGUGUUAGUAUCAAAAUUAACACGCUAUAUGAGCCAAUCUAAUGUGAGAAACACUAAUUAACUCAAUAAUAGAUAGAGAAAUAUUUUUAUUUAUCUUUAAGAUUGUACAUAAGUAGCAAAAUUUGAACUAUUGAAAAGUUAUUAAAACUCUAUUGAUGUAGAUUGUACCUCUUAAUAUAAGAUGGAAAUGUUAAUACUUUCCAUACUCAAAGUCCACGUGGCAACAAGUAGGUUAACAAGGGAAUAUAUUUUGAAAGUGCAUUAGUUUGGGAAUAGUUUUAAAGAAUGAGGUUAUUGUUGAAAUUUGCAGUAAGUUCUCAUAUUUGUAUUUGGCUGCUAAGAUGGUCUUUGGGAGCCAAGCUCCAGAAAAAUGGGUAUUAAGUGAAGUAUCGUUCGUGAAAGCCAGCUUAUGAAUUAAUAGUUGGGUUAACAACACUUUGCCCCUCUGAAAGUUGGGGUAAUAAUACCUUUCCCCACUCAAUGAAAAUAAUAGGCACUUUUUCCACUUGAGAUAUUUUGUGUGGUAUUUGUGGCAAGCAUUCCGUCUGCAAAAUAUAGAAAAAUGGACUGCUUAAUAUGUUGACAAUUUUACCCUUAUGCUAUUGAUAAAUAACAAAAAUUUAUAAAGUUAAUUUUAUAUAAUACUAAUAAUAUAUAUACUAUUACAGUUGGAUGUAUGACAUAAACAAAAUUUGAAUUUCAAAUUUAAAUUGAGAUAAGUUAUCAUGCAUCUAAUAGUGAUGGUGUAUACACUGUCAAUAUAUAAAAAAAAUAAUUCAGAUUUAUAAAUGAUAUUUUAUUGAGAAAAUGGAAUGCUUAAAUACGUUUUACUCUUGCGUUAUUGACAAAUAACAUACUCUUAUAUUGUUGAAAAAUAACGAAAAUAUAUAAUGACAUUUAUUGAGGAAUGUCAGUCAUAUAUAGCACCAAAGGUUUUCUUCAAAAACAACAUACAUUUUGGGGUGUUCAAACUUCGAAAAGUCAACCGAUCCAAUUUAGAUUGGAUACCAGUCAAAUGAAAAUCGAUAAAGUCAAUUGAUAUCUAAAUUUAAACCUACUAAUAUAUUUCAUGGAUUAAUGAUGUUAUAAGUUAUAGCUCAUGCUUCCAUAGGAUCAAUUUGACUAAAAAUAAAAUUACAAGAUAAAGGUAGAAUUGUCAAUAGAUUUAAGUAGACUUUUUUUUUUAACAUUUUCAAAUGGAAUACUUGAAACAAAUACCGUGAAAUAUUCUCAAGUGGGUAAAAUGCCUAUUAUUUUCAUUUAGGGGGCAAAGUGUUAUUACCCCUAACUUUUAGGGGGCAAAGUGAUAUUAACCCUUAAUAGUAUUAUAUAAUCUAGGGAUAAUUUCAAGGAGGUUUCUAACAAUUAAAGACAUCUUUCCUAAAGUUUGAAAAAAUUACAGUUAUCUCCAUUGUUGUUAUGAAAAGACCAUGAUAGCCUUUAUAAACUUUACAAAUUUUAAUAGAAAAUGAGUUAAGAGAGAAAAAUAAUUUUUUUUUUUGUAAUAGUUCUGUUGCGCUUGGAUUUUAUCUCAAUAACGGGUGGUGGGAUAAAAUCCAAACCCAAUAACUUCUUUAUCCUAAAACUCUAACAUCAUUUAAUCUAAUACAUUAUACUUCAUUCCCAAUUUCUCUAACCAGUUUUAUUAAUCAAUUUACAAAAAGUGGACCAACCGAUUGGGGAGGCAUUUGUUGAAUAAGUAUUUUAAAAAAUUACUUAACAAGAAAAAAAAGUCCAAAGUACCAAAAAAGAAUACUUUCAAUUCAGGUUUAAAUUUUCCUGUAAAAAACUGAACUUUUUAGCAUUUAAAGAUUCGACAAUUUCCGCAGGACCAAGAGAUGGUGCUGAAUUAGGAGUGUGCAAAAUCGAAAAUUUUCCAUUUAUCGAUCGAAUUCGAAUUGCACUCGGAAUUUUCGAAAUUGGUAAUUCGGAAUUCGGCACUGAAAUCGGAAUUUUCGAUUUCGAAUUAAGCGAAUUUGGUUUGAAUUCGGUAAUGGAGUUUUUGAAAUCAGAAAUUGAAAUUGAAAUUUUCGAUUUCAAUUUCGUUUUAUAAUAUAUACAUAUAUUAAUAUACAUUUAUUUAUAUAUAUAAUAAUUUUUUUAUUUCAUUUUCAUUUUAUAAAUAUAUAUCAUAAUAAUAAUAAUAUUUUUAAUAUAAAAUUUAUAUUAUAUAAUAAUAUAUCUAACAAAAAAGAAAAAAAAGGAAAAAAAGGUUUUUAAAUUCGGUGAAUUCCAAAUUUACCGAAUUUCAAAUUGAAUUCGGAAUCGGAACUAGUGAAUUCGAAUUCGAAAUCUGUCGAUAAUUCCUAUUCCAAAAUUCUGAAAAAUUUCGAGUUCAAACUUUCAAAUUACCGAAUUCGAAUUCACCCAUACACCGUACGUAAGAUAGGAGAGAAACUAAUGAAUCAAAAUCGAGAGUGCAUAUUUAGUCAUAUUGAAAGGAAAGUUUGUCGUUUGUUGAAAAAAAAGAAAGGAAAGUUUGUCAACUAUGCAGAAUUUCACUGCGGGGUGAUCCCAUCUCAAGGAUUUUCUUGAUUACUGGUAAUGUCCAAUAAUGUUGACGGAGGGGUUUGCUGGCCGACAGCACAUAUCCUAUAGUUUUUCACACCGGAGAAAAUGUUCUGAGAAAUACUCCGCGGUAAAAGGGGAAUUAGAAGGGGGGAAAAAAAAAACUACAAGAGAUCAAAACGUCCCAGGAGGUAACAAGAGAAAAGUCAAAUAGAUAGGGUGAAGUGGACAAAUACGGGACAAAUAAGAUAAACGAUAUGCAUAUAAAACAGGAGCGAGCUGGUUGGAGAGUGGAGAGCAAAGAGUGACCAAAGGCCCAGGGGCCAAUCACUUGGAAUUUCUGCUGUGUGGGAGUGUGCGUGCAAUCACACGUCUUUGAAGGAGUGAUAUAAACAAUGUUGAUCCCUGUUGCGGAUGGGAUCGGGAUGAGACUUCAAACCUCCUUUGUUCUCUUCAUAGAUUAUUGCCACUAAAUUCUUUGAGACGAAAUUGAGAGAGCUACCAUCCACCCUUGAAACCCCUAACCUCACCCACCUUUCCUUUCCCAUUUAUAUGUUGAGUAGCUUAAUUUCUCCAACAUCCCAAACAAACAGUCGAACUACUUGUAAUCAGUGGGUGGAAGGAUUCCCUCCCUAGCAUCAUCUUGCCAAAUUCUGUUCUACAAAAUAUCGGUCAAACCCUAUUUGCUCUUCGUCCGUAUCGAUCCAAAAUAUCAUCUUGCAUCCCAGCCCCUAGCCCAAUUUUAGCUGAAUAUCAAAUCAACCUUUUUGGGCAUUUCGGCAACUCCCAAAGCUUCGUUGAUCUUUCACACUGGAAUUGAAUCAAACUUCCAGCUGAGAUUGGAAUUUCCAUUGCAAAACAGUUUUAUCGAGGUACACUGCAGUAAAAGAUACUAUCUGAUUUGGGUCUGUUGUGGGCUUCUUUCCAUCUCUUCCAUCGGAAAGAUCGAUCCUUUUUCCCCCGCAGUUUUGAUCCGGGCUGAUCUCUGACUGCCUUCGAGGUAUGAAUUUCCGAAGCAUGGAGGAGUUUUGGCUGUUUUACAUGAAUCAACACUCGAAACCAGCCACCAGGCGUUGGCAUUUUGUGGGCACACUUUGUAGCAUUAUUUGCUUGAUAUAUUCAAUGCUUUUCAACUGGUGGUUUGUGAUCCUUGUGCCCUUGUUGGGAUAUGGCUUGGCAUGGUAUAGCCAUUUCUUUGUGGAAGGAAAUGUUCCUGCAACAUUUGGGCAUCCCUUUUGGUCCCUUUUAUGUGAUUUCAAGAUGUUUGGAUUGAUGCUCACUGGUCAAAUGGAUAGAGAAAUCAAGAGGCUCGGUAAGAGGCCAGUUCUGCAAGCUUACUAAUCCAUUCCGAUUUUCUAUUUUACUCUUUUCUUCCGGUAUGGUUCACAAAACCGCUUGUAAUUCCCUUUCUCGCGUUCAAUCUAAUCUUAAUUUAGUUCAUUCAGCUGCCGACUUACAACUGAAAUACUCUUGUGUUCGCUAAUUUGCUGCAAUCAAUCUUCCGCCCUUUUGCAAAUUGAUGAAUGUUUUGUGCAAACUCAAUACUACGUUUUCACAUUUGCGGAGGGGGGUCAUAAGCGUUUCUCAAAUUGCAUACACGUUUUAAGGUAUUCAGCUUAGUAGCAGCGAGGAAUGAUUAUGAAUCACUCGUCCUUGAAAGCACUAAAUAUCCCUCGCAAACUGGACAACUGGGGUUCGACCUUUACAUCUUCAAGAGUAUUUCCGUGGUGUCUUUUACUUUUCUAUUCAACGGAGAGACAGAAAAUGUACUCUCUCUUCAGAACAAAAACGAAAAUAUCCAGCGCGCCUUACAUUUCGCCAUUUCUUGCAAAUGUACCGCUAAGUUCAACAAUUAGUAAGGGAACGAGACUAUCCUAGCCCGCGUCUCAGCCAGUCUGCGGGUAUCCGUAUAUCCAAAGAAAUGGAAAGCACGAAGUCCAAGCUGAGACAUACAUGAUGUGAAUGAACAUUCAAUUUCCCAGUAAUUCCUGUUCCUAAGUAAGUAUCAAAAGGGGAGUUACAUUUGGACAUGAAGCUCCAAAGCCUUUAUCCUGCUUUUCUACAGUGAGAUGUAUUUCAGGCUUGAUUCAGGUGACCUCCCUAACAUACUAAUAUGGUCUCGGCUCCAUGAUAUUACAUCUGUGGCGAACUUUGGAUAAAUAUCACAUUUCAAGAGUCUUGUGUCCGGCUGUAUUAGCAAAAUUGUCUAUCAUCCACUAUCAAAAGUAGCUUAACAUCACAAGUCGGUGUUCCGUGAAAAUGAUGGCAGUGGCAUUCCCUCCUGUGGACGGAGAAUGACAAUGACACCAAACAUCCCAAGCAUUGGAAGGACUAGAAGCCAUUUCAACAACUUGUAAUAGUGCAUAUGGAAUGUCAGGGCGAAGUCAUCAGAAAAAUAGAGCCCAUUCUUGUCAACCAUUUCCACCACAACCAUCCCAGAGGUCCUCACCCCUACAGUUGGAAGCUUUAUCCUAUGAACUCCAGCACGAUCAAAGACAUGGUUUUGCUUAAUCGUCCUUUCCCCUUGGUAAUUACCAGGAACCAACAAGCUUACCUGUUCAGAUGUGUGUGAGACAAAGACAGUACAUAAUGGAUAAUAAUGCAAAGUAAAUUUCAUGGACCUUUUAUGUUAGAUGCUUUAGAAUAUGAAUGCAAAGUAAAUUUCGUGGACCUUUUGUGUUAGAUGCUUUAGAAUAUGAGACGGAAGAAGCCACUCACCGUAACAUUGUAAGGACCUUGAUAUCCAGAUGGAAUCCUGUACCCAUCCACAAUCUCCAUCUCGACCCAGAAACUCUUACCUUCUUCAUCUCGGAAAGCCCUCGAUGAUGGAGUAACGUGGAUUCCCUCGCGAUUGGGACGGUAUGCAACAUUGUUCCUCCCCUGAUUAUGUGAUCUCCAAGCCUAGGAAUGCACAAGAGCAACUCAGAUCAAUUGAGUGCAAGGACAGAUGGCAAGAAGCAAGCAACAAAAUAUUUCGAAUGUAUCCAACCUUGAGAGGAUGAUGGGGAGCAGGAGUUGAGAAGCAGAAGACAUUUCCAUUCAUUGUUGUGACUAUAAGAUCCAAAUCAUCUCCACCAUCCACAUUAUCAGCCAAGACCAUGCUAUAUCUGUUCCCCAAAAUGGACCAAAAAGAACCAGAAAAUGCAAAAGUUUAGUAAAUUACGAAGAAAGAAGUUUGAAGGCCUCAAGGAAUGUGGUUGUCUUACGAAGUUUCACCAAUAUCCACCACAUCCGCACAUGAUGUCGGUCCAUCAAUAAGAUACAUAUAUCCAUCAAAUGAAGUUGUAACAAUAGUAAGCCCCUUCUUCUUUUCCCCUCUUUUGCUCAAGUCAACCAGAAGUACCUGAUUCAUCACUCUACCAUGAGUUCUAUAUGGAUAUGGCCUUACAAAAGAUCCAUCCUUGCCACUCAGCACAUAUAUAUUCCCAGAUAACGUCGGAACAACAACAUCUGUAUGGCCAUCCCCAUCCACAUCACCCACACUCGCUCCCUGAUUGAAAGGCAAUCUUUCAGCAUGUCAUUGAACUAUUAAAAUAUAUUUGAAUCUCAUUAAGCUGAAGACAUUGCAAAACAAACUGAACCUUACCUGUGGAACAAGGCUCUUAAGAUGUUGUUCCCAUAUUUCUUUUCCCUGAGUAGUCCAUGCAGCCACAUUCCCAUGUGUAUCAGUAGUAACAAUUUCAAUCUUUCCAUCAUCAUUAAUAUCAGCAGCAAUGACUGCUCCUUGUAUUUCAGCCAUUUCCACAGGAAACUUCACCCUCAUUUCGCCUGAGUACAAACUAAUCAAUUACAAAGCAACACAACAAGAAUAAUAACAAAUGGUUUUCUCUUCUCUCUCAUUCCCCCUCUGAUAUGCCAUCCAAGCAUAUACCAAAAAACAUUUACAAGAAUAAAGAAUAAGACAAAUGAUCAUCAAACAUGUAGACAGCAUGUCCCCCCAUCAAAACACACACACUCUCUCUCUCUCUAGGACAUUUUUAGCAGCCCUAAUUCUCUCUCAUAUUAGACAACCGGAGCCAAAGCAUCUAAUUCAUUUUCUUCAGGUAACCAACUGGAGAGCAAGCAUAUGCAAGCAUAAAACAUGUCGAAUUUUGCCAAAAAGUCGUAUGUUUGCCGGAUAACAAUGAUGACAAAAAGAAGACACGAAAGAGGAAUAAAUACCCACAGAGCUUCUUUCCUUUUCUGAUGUUGGGAUCAAAGAACAAGGUAAAGGACACAGGCCAGGAGGGAGAAAGAAGAAUUUAUGAGUGAAAAAAGAAGAAAGUUUUAGGGCAUAAGGAGGAAACUGUAUCAAGAGCCACUCAGAAGUUCCAUAUUUGUUUAUAUUUAACUUUAUGUAUACAGAAGUCAAUCACAAUAUCUUUAUCUUUCAGGAGGUUCCAUUAGCUUCUUUCAGUCAAUAAGUGUUGGACAGACAAUAACCAACGACACACAAAACCAAUUUAUGUACAUGAAAUCAACGUGAAACCCAACCAUCAAUGACUAAAAUGGAAAAACCAAUUAAGCAAGGGACGUGCAUGACAGAUAUACAACUGUUAAACAACUAUAGGUUUUAAGAGAAAAAGAAUCCAAGAAUUACCCUUGUGAUCAAAUACAUACAACAAUCCAUAAGAAGUUCCAACAAGAAUGUCCAAAUUCCCAUCACCAUCCAAAUCAACUACAGUUGGAGAAGAAUAUAUAUAGGCACGAAACUUUCCAUUCUCUGUACUUAGGUCCAGUUGUGUACUCCAUUUGACCUGCUUUGUGUCUAGAUUGAAAACAACAAUACCACCAGCAACAUAUUUACCAAUGUCAAUGCCACCAAGGUCCUUUGAAUGCUCUGGGUUGUCAUAAUACCUGACAUCUUAAAAACAUCAGCUGAAACUCAUGCAGCCAAUAUCCACGUUUUCCAAGUCAAAAAUAAAGCAACGUGCAAAGGGCUAGUCAUGAGCAAACACAUGUUGAAAAUUUCCUAGAAAUUGAAGAGAAAGAGAGCAAGAUGCCUGGAACAAGUUUGCUUAGACAGAGAAAGAAACAGAGGUGCCACUAAAUCAUGCAUGAUAAAGCACAUUCCAAUGUUCUAAAUUUCCUAGAAGGCUAGAUGUAGUAAAAGUAUGACAUCUAAGCGAUAAAAUUCUUAGCAAAUUGAGCAAUAAAAUACACUUACAGCAAACGUUUGAAAGUUAAAUUCGACAAGAAAAUGAAUACAGCAGUAUACUAUUGAAAAUUUAAUUAGCUGGAGGGACUUUAAUGAAAAAAUAUACACACACACACAUGCACACAAACAUACAUGGUGUUAUACGUACAGAAACUUACUCACGGUCAAAGAAGUAGGAAACUGCAACAACCAUCUCUGAGGUCCCAUCAUUAUCAAUAUCUGCAAUAACCUGAUUGGCAAGAGCAAAGUUCAAUUUCAGACUAAAAUCUGCCUCAUCAUAUGGGAAGAAGCUUUGGUGCUACCAGACUUACAGGAGUGCACAAAACAUGUGCAUCAAUAUGCACAUAAUUUUCUAACAUUUCAUGCUGAGCUUCAGUCCACUCCUCUUCUCCCCACAGAUUUCCAUCAACAUAAUCAUCAUAAUCAUAAUUAUAUUCAUCAGCCAGCUCAUCGCUAUCUCGGAACAAUUCAAAUGAUGAAUCGGCUUCUGCCUCCAAACCUCCAUUAUUUUCCACUGUAGCCUCGUGGACUCCCUCAUUGGUUUUUGCUUCAGAUCCAGAGACACUCUCCCCGGAGCCUUUUGAGACAUUAUCUUCCAGUAGCCUUCUGCUAGUCUUUGAAGCAUUUUCACCGUCGCUAACUUUCUUGAAUCCAGAACCCAAUGAAGUCUCAAUCGAAUUAUUUAGCAUUUGAACAUGUGGAUCUGUUUGGCUAUCAUUGCUUUGCUUUUGAUUUGGUGUAUCAGAUAAGUUUAUUUUAUCAAGUUGAACUUCUGCGACUGUAGAUUUUGUAGAGUUUAAUUCUUCAAUGUGAGCUUCUGAUGUAGUAGGGUUUGAAGUGUUUGCCCUGACUGAACUUCCAUUAUGCUCUACAAGGAUAUAUGGAAUUUAGUAUGAACUUUGUGGUUCAAAGAAGAAUAAAAGUCAAAACACUUUAGGCAGGGGAACCAAUCAGAAUUACCCAAAACAUGGUCAGCCAUGUACUGAUAUCAGGGAAAAAAGAAAAAAAACCAAAUGUCAACAAUUUCAAAAGAUGAACAUGACUGUUCAAACAUCUAAUGUUAAGAGUUGUGAGAAGAUGUGUGGAGGAAAUAGAAUGAGGCAAAAGAAUAAGCACAUGCAGGUUAAUGAAUAGGAAGAUGAUAAUGCAUUUACAAGCAUUCUAACCCACAUAUUGGCAUCCAUCAGCUGGUAAGCAUAAUAGAGAUUAUCCCAAAGAAUUGGUAGCGCAUACAAGAAGUCUGCCAAUCAGACCUCCUUUUGAAUCAUCCAAGGGAACAAAAAGGUCCCAUGCAGAAGAAAAAGGUGAAUAAAAAAAUCAUAAAAAAAAGCACCACCAUCACAAGCAUUACAAACUACUUUCAGAAAAGAAAGUGAUGUACGAGUUAUUGAUUCCAUAAGCGCCUCCUGGAUCAAUAGGUCAUCAUGAACAUUUGGAUGAGAACGGUCCACUGGGUCUUCAUGCAAACCCACAUACCAAUCCUUUUUAACUUUCAAUCUAGGAAUCUCUAGCUUGUCUGACAUCAUGUAGCCAGAAACCCUGUUUUAUUUUCCACAUUAAAGCAGUAAGCCCAAGGCACUUCAUUUAUAGGUGCAAUAAAAGAACCAUGACAGAUAACAGAUUUACCUGAAAAAGAGCACCUCACCAUUGUAGGUGGCCAACCCUAUUUCUCUCACACCAUCCUUAUCAAUAUCAUAUAAAAAAGGACUGGAAUGAACAGUUGACUGGUGGAAAGCAGGCCAUCCUGGAGAAUUAGUCUGAGCAAGUUAUUAAAUUCAACACAGAAACAUUCUGGCCAAUAUAGCAACACAACCAACUAAAUUUCAAAAGCACAAAUAAAAGUGUACCUGGCAUUUUAUCUCCAUCAGAACCUUCUAGGACUUCUAAGAAGUGAACAAAUGAAGGAACAACAACAUCAAGCUUUCCAUCACUGGAACAUAAAAAUAGAAAUCAAACUCAGCAUUCAAAAUAAACAGGUUCUGCUCGCUUACAAAUAUCAUGGAUUCCCACAAACUUUCUUCAAAUCUUAUUCAUAAUGGCAUAGACUAAUCAGAAGUCCCUUUUUCCAACAGAUUCAGUUUCCCUACUCAAUAUUCAUAAUACAUCUUUUUACUUUCUUGUCAUUGACUCAUGAUAUCUUCUUAUGAGUAGAUGAUAGCCCGUCAAUAGCCAACCUCCCAAUUAGCUUCUUAAAGUUGUGCUUUUGAAGAUGGCAAAAUAAGAAAAAUAUGGACACAUAGCAAGCACUUUACUGAAAACAAAUUUUAUUGAAGCUAAAAUCAAAUUCCUUUUGGAGACAACAAGCUGCUUCCAUUCUUUUACCUGUUGAUAUCAGCAAUCAAUGGUGUGGCAUAUAUACUGGAGCUGACUUCCGUUUGCCAUCUUAGCUCCAAAUGCUGAGGGCACUGCGUAUUCAACAGCUCACUCUCAUCCCUAAACAUGACCAGACCAUGAAAUGGAAACUAUUUAAGCUGCCAAAGUUCUCAAAAACCAGGUUUUUACAACGUCAUUUCCCCACCAUACAGCAACAUAUCUUCCAUCAACAAAUUCAAUGAAAAACCAUCCUGUGAACUUUAAUAUCCAAAUUCAACAAUCCGGAGCACACAUACUGUCUGUUUCCCCAGAUAAACAUCACAAUGUAACUAGUAUCCAAGAAAGUGCCAGGCAAAUCGAGCAAAUGACAAGAAGCACCCGACGAUGAAUUAUCGGAGUCCACACAAGUCUUAAAAAAAAAAGGUGAAUAGAGUAAAAGAGGUGGACUUACAAAUUGGGAUAAGCAACGGCAUCGUCAGUAGCCUCUCGCUCUCGAAACUUGUUCUUCUUUGUUUCUUCCGAUCGCAGACCAGCAAAAUAGCAAUUAAAGAGCACAAGGUAACAUAAAAAUAAUAAAACCCUAAUCUUCAUGUCAGAAUCGCUUCGUUAAGUUGAAACUCUUCGAUUUUAAAACAAUUCACAGAUACAUUGACUUAUAACACGGCCUUCAAUCUCCAAGAAAAGAAACAAAGAUAUAUGUUACCAAGCAUCAAAACCAUAAACGAUGUGGUCGAAACCUAAAGCGAUCAAUCGCUUGAUUUUUAAAUAAGUGGCUUCAAUAAUUCGGGGGCAGUGCGAUCGGGCGGAGUGUCAGGCAAGAUAGAGCGAUGCCGAUUUGGACUUACAUUACACGAGUCCAACGUUGACUGGCUUCUUCUCCGGUCACUUUUCACUCAGAGCUUCAGCUCCCUGAUAAUUCUAGAAUAUAUUAUUCAUAUUUCGGAAUUUUGGGCCAUUUGACUCGUACGGUAGCGCGGAGUUUUUACUUGGGCUUUUUCAGGCCCAAAUUUUGGCCGAAUCCUUUCAGUUUUAGCUUUUCAUUGUGCGUUUAUUUAGGGGUAAAAUACACUAAACCCCCUUGUGGUUUAGGUUAUUGUCAUAAAACCUCCUCAUACAUUGAACCUCCUUACACUAUGGACUAAUCUGGAAUUUGGAUGAAAAACAUCCAAAUUAAUGGAGAGUGAGUCACACUCGCCUAAUACGUGAGUAAAAUUGAUCACGUUGAUUUUUCUGUGUAAAAACUGAUUUCUUCUUCCAAUUAUACACUCCUUCUUUUGCUUUUUUUUUUUUUUCACUUUCUUUUGCUUUCCUUCCUCCUCUCGCAAUCAAAAUAGAGACAGUAGAUGCACCAAAACAUCAACUCCCCUCACAACCACGAUCACUGCGACCACUCUUUCUUCUUCUUAUAUUUAUCUUUUGUUGCAGCACCAGAGGAUUCUUAAGAAUGUUCAUGUCAAACUUUGGCUUCUUUUCCAAUAGAACUCUCCUUACAGCAACACCUUUAAUCUCUUAAGUAAUUGCCCUUAACCCAUUCUUUGGUAACCAGAUUUGAUGCCAUCACCAUUGCCAUCGUGGUCACCAACUAAUACGUAAGGCGGGCAGAAAUCCAAAUGGAUUUGAGAUAUGAAUCAAGGUAGCCUCACAAAUUUUCCUUUAAUCCAUGCAAAUAUCUGACUUUUUGUGUGUAAUUGGUGUCAUAUAACCAUUUUACUAGUCCAAAGGAUUGUUUUUAUAUAGUAAUUUGUUGGUUUUGCUUUAUUUUAGGGCUGAAAUUUAUAGUUUUGCCUAUCAUUGUUCAUGCCUAUGUUUGUUAUUCUUUGCUUGUUUUUGGUCAAAUUUGAUAUCAUAAUCAUGAUAUACGCUGAAAUUGGAUUUGAGGGUGUAAUUUUUGUUAAAUUCCACACUGGUGGUAGCUACUGGCAGCUUUGCUCCUACUGUCGCUGCCGCAAGAUCUGUAAAUGAUAAUAAGAGGCCGGGAAGAAGAGAAACUUUGAAAAUUUUCACCUUGACUCAUAAAGUCUGUUUGUAAACCCACAAAGACGAUGAUGGAUGUGGAGGUAGCGGUAGAAAAAUAAUGAAAGCUACUUUAUCGCCGGAGAAGAUGAAGAAUGUUUUGAAAUUUUAGUUUGGCCCCUUAAUUUUUUCCUUAGACAAUUCAAGAUUCAUGAAUUUAGAUGAAAUUUGAGACCCAAUGGUGCUGAAGAUGAUGAUAAAGGUAAUGACCACAACAGUCAUAGUGACGGCGACAAUUGCAAUGAUGGCAAGGUGACAAUUGCUAGAUUGAAGAAAGGAAGAAAAGGAGAAAAAAAUGGUAGGGAAAGGAAAACAGAAAAAGGAAAAAAAAAAGAUAAAAAAGAAAGGAGAUGGGUUCUGAAAUCUGAACAUUGUCCAGUUGGAGAAGACAACAAACUUUUAGAAUUUGUUGAAUUAACCCCUGAAUUUUACUUUUUUUUAAAAUGAAGCAAGAAAGGUUUUAAAAUCUUAAGUAAAACUCGAACUAACUUUUGGUAUAAUUUGAAAACAAGGUUAAUAUAGGAAUUUUAUAUUAUUCCGUCAAAUUGGAUGAUUUCCGUUUGUUGGCCAAAUUAGUCCAAAUCAUGAGGUGAUUCUUUGAGAGUUUUUAAACAAUGAGAAGGGUUUAUGACAAUAACCCAAACCACAAAGGAGUUUAGUGUAUUCUACCCUUUAUUUAGAAAAAUUUUCAUGCACUUCCCUCCUCCUCCUUACCCUGUAUAACUUUUGGCUCCCCAUUCCCCACACAUGCAAUAUGAGAAAUCAAUUGUUCUAAAAAAAACACAUGAAAUGCUUUGGGCCCCCGGAUCACGAGAAGAGACGUGAUUUAUCUUUUAAUCAUCCAAGACAACAUAUGAGUAACGAAAACUGAAAAUUCACCCCCCGGUUGCAUAGGAAUGCACCACAUGAUUUUAAGGGCAGUUGCCCCAUGCCAUAAUUGUACGUGUUUUUGUUCAUUAAUAUCAGUGACAAAUAUCUUUCCUGAAAAACAAAAAAUUUCUGAACAUUCACCCUUAGGAAACUUUAAAAAAAAAAAACAUUUUUUUUCUUAAGUCCAAAACCCUUUCUUACUGAAGGGCAGAGAAGGAAGGGAUAUCCAGGCUCCAAGUAGUCAUUUUUUAGCUCAGAAUCAUCCUAUAAGCAGAUUCACAAAGCCAAUCAGAUGGCCAGGACCCUUGCUUAGAUUAAGAGUGACGACAUGACGAAUUAGCAAAGUGAAGUCCAGGAUCGGUUCAACGAUCACAUACCAAAUUGAAAAGAACCAAGUAAAUACUUACUAAUAAAGGCCUGGACCUACACCCAGAUGUUAUACACAUGCAUGCAUCCAGCUGCCAUCAAAUGCAGUUCCACGAGAAGACGGCUCACAGUGGCUCAGAAAUCUACUCCUCAAUUAUAGUAAUUAAUAUUGAACAAUAUUCACAAGACAGCGAUGUUCGAAAACUGCAAUACUAAAGCUGAAAAGGGCUACUUCUGGAGAGAUUAUAAUUAUAAAGACUACACAAAGAAAACCUAUAAUGAUGACUAAUAUACAUGGCAUCCUACCGCCUAAUUCCUUCCGGCCAGAAAACUUUCAGAAACAAGAACCAGCUGUCCGAAGCUGACGGCCAUAAUAUGUAGCAUGUAGCAACUGGAUCCAAAUAACCAGUGAUGCACAGUAUGAGGUUCUUCCAGUCAAAGAUCUCAAUAUCCCUUUUGGCUAGUAUACUCCUAUGAUAACUUGGGCAACUCAAGAGGCAGAGAGAUCAUUUUGCAGGCAAGGAAGAAAAGAAAAUUCAAGGCUCAGAUUUGUCCUAUGACUAACUUCCUCAGGUAAUGUACUCCACUAACUCAAUAACAGCAACAUCCAUCACCUACGCCGCACAGAAUUCGAGUGGUAGUGAGGCUUGCUGUCUCUCUGGAUCCGAUCAGCAUACAUUGGCAACUGAAUGGUCUCAUGAAUCUCAUCCAAUAAGAUCUCCUCAGUGAUAUUAUCCCUUAUACUUCUCAUAACCUGUUGUUAAUGCACAUAUUCCAUUAUUUACUUUAACCAAAAUAUGUAGCUAAAAGGGCAUGACACUCUUCAGAAACCAAAUUACAACCCUCCAAAAGUGUUGAUAGUGAGCAAGGAAAAUACCUUCUUAUAGGUGUUGAAGUCGUUUGGAGUUCCUUUAUCAGUCCUGAUCCGCAUACAUACCCACACCUUUUCUUCAGCUUUCCAAGAGCACUCAAUAAUCUUCCCCGAGAAUGAUAACGGCUCAGAGCCAUCUGUUAUUCCAGAAACAAUGAACAAAGGAUACUGCAGGACUAGUAGUAGUUCAAUAAAUAAAGUUACAUCACAAUACUAGCAGAUGCCAUACAACCCAAAAAAAAAAAAUACUGUCUGGAUAGUUAUCAUCCACCCCACAAAAAUCUGCUAAAUCCUAACAUUUUACUAGCACAUCAAGCUCAGCUAUUGUAACAUCCAAAGCUCGGUUAAUCUCAGCUUGUUCAUGACACCCUAUAUCACCACAAACGAGAAAACUGGGGGUGGAAGUGGGGAGGGAAAUGCAGCACAUACGAAAACACAUUCACAUACAUAAUGGGGCGGACAGAAGAAAGAUCAUGAAAAAAAUUAGCAAACACAGACCAUCAAAUACAACCACAUUCCCUUCCAUCAGCUUUUUCUUCCCUUUUUCAUGAAGAUAAAGAAGCUGGCGAUUAUCAACCACCUGUUCAGAUCGAUACCGGUCAGUAAUAUAAUCAGCGUAUUGAAUCCAAAUGCACUUCUACAAAUAAGAUCAAAGCAAAUAAAAAAUAUCAUAGAUAUUCAAACAAACUCAAUUCAUUUAAGGGCAAGUACAAAUUAACUACAGAUCAGAAAUAAAGAAAAUACUACCUCAAAAAGGAAAUCCACCGAAUUCAUACUUGCAUAUUUCCAUUUCAAGAGUCCCUCGUGUGUGCGAGGAACAUAAGGGUCAUCCCAACCCUGGCAUAAAGAAAAGAAUAAAUCAAUUGCCAAAAAAAUUUUAACAAGCUAAGAUUUGUAAUAACAUCCAGAAAAAGGUAAAUGUGAAAGUAAAAGCCGAAUGAAUAUGUAGCUUAGAAUCAAUAAGUAACCAAAUUGCACAAAUAAAUUCUCAAAGCAUGUCAAUCACUUAAUAUCAUAAGCUUCCUACCCUGGUGCAAUGUUCAUUAUCAGGCAUGCAAAACUAAAACACCUUCAUCACCAAAAGGGAGAAAACGAGUGAAUUUUUUCGAGUAUAGGUGAGUCAGCAAACAACUUUAUGAAGGUUUAAACAUAUAUAAAUCAAUCAAAUCAGAUUUCAUCAAAGGGGAUAUAUAAUACCAUAUGAGAGCCUAUAUUUGAGCACCUGAAAGAUAAGACCAUCAGCUGCAUGAGAAAGCCUGGGGAUGAAUUCCUUCAGAAGUUUAGUUACAGUAGAAAGCAGCCAAAAAUCCUUUCUCCUCACCUAAUUAAGUUUGGUCAAUCAGCCAUCAGUUCCAAGAAGGAAAACAAAGUGUUGGGAAUUCAUACACAAGUAAUUGAGCUGUAAAGAAGACAUACCCUGAAUGGUUCAAGUUCAUAUCUAUAAUAGGGGUUCCUACUCUGAUAAAUGUGCUGACGCUCAUAGUUCCUCGGUUCAAUUAUUUCUUUCUCAAGCAUUUUCCAACGCUCAUAAAAGGGUCGCUGCAAUCAAUUGAAGGACCAGAUGUCGACAUUAAAGCACCCAAGCAGAGUCAGAAUCCAAAAUAACGAGAAAAGAAGGUCAUGACACAUUAAAAUCACUAAUCCUAAAUAAAACCACAUCCACUUCAACUAAAAGAAAACUAACAUAACUACUUAAUUCAACUGUAGAACCACUCAUUCAUGUUUCUUAUAUUGUAUUAUAUUUCCUUUUCUUUUAAAAAAAAAAAGCCUUCUUAAAUUAAGUAUCAUUACUCAAAAACAGAAGAUGAAAGGAAUAAGAAAAGGGAAAACCAAACAGUGUCGUAUAUACUUCUAAAAAGAUCUUGCACUUUAUUUAUCUGCCCUGGAAAUUUGCUUAUGCAUGAACAUCAAUGUAAGACAAGUAUAAACCAAAUUGAUAUAAUGAGUAGAAUACAAGCUUCAUCAGCAGAUACGAUAAAAAAUUAAAACUUAGCAACCUAAGUAGCAGAAGAAAUUUUGUUCAUCAUGAAAUGAUAUUGAGGGCAUACAGCAACGUAGUUCAUCAGACUAAAUAGAUAAGGUAUUAGUUCAUAAUUAAGUAUUAAAAACAACAAUGUCGCUUUAUAACAGAUAGCAGAGUGCUAAAGAAGUUGCAAAAAUGUUCUAACAUGCAACGUUUUCCACCAGUCAAAUAAAUUUUAAGCAUACAUCCACUCAACCGUAUACCAAUUGCAGGAAUGUCAACACAAAUACACCUAAUUCAAUAGCUUUUAAUACAAAGUAAACAAUAAGCACAAGUUUCAGCAAGGAUUUUGGGCCCAUUGGCAAGUUCUUUUAAAUAUUAUACCUCUAUAAGAGAAACUGAAUUAAUUGCCAUCAUAUCAUAUAUCAGGUAUCGUCUUUCCUGCUUCUGAGAAUCCGGCAUUGUAUCAAUUAUCAUUUCCCCAUCAAGUAACGUGAAGUGGUGGGUCUUCUCAGCUAUACCCUGGUAAAAACAUGAUAUUAAAGUUAGAUAUACCAGAAACCUAUUGUAACGUAAUUCAAAGCAGAUAGUAUAAGCAAAUUUGACUAAUCGAAAUUUAUACUUCAUUUGUAUGUCUGCAAGGAAAUCUCAUCUGGACCCUCCGGAACUGAAAGUGCCUAUCAAUUAAGUAGCACCCAUCCAUUGUAAUCAGCAUCAUAUAUCGAGUCCCAUCAGCUUUCCAUGUAGCAUAAUAGUAACGUUGCCUAAGCAGUUUUACAUUCUCACUGCACGUCCAAAGGCAGUAAGAUUACUGUUACAGGAGCACAAUUCAGUGAAACUGCAGAAUACAUUGGGAAAGGAUGUAGUCCCUGUUGCUAAAGUAAUCCGCAUGUUCAUUAAACUUUCAAAUCAUUUCCAUCACUUAUAAAUCAUCAAUUAUCCAAAAAAAAACCGCUAAGCAUCAUACAGGUAAUGUGGUUGACAAGCAUCAUACGGGUAAUGUGGUUGAUAAAACAUUCAGAAAACCUGUAAAAACUGGCAAUACAGUGCACCAAAUAGAAAAGGUAGAUUAAUCUUUUGUACUACAUUUUUCAGUCCUUCCUCAUCUUUGGUGCUGUUGAAUGCUGCAUUUGAUACUUGCCAACUUUAAAUUUACUUUUAUUUUCGAAAGGCUGGAUAUAAGGAACUUGGACUAAAUUUAUUGCUCUUACAAGGGGUUGCUUUAAGGAACAUGGAGUGACUUUGAUUUACAAAUCCCAACAAGGCAUGUGGGGUGAAAUUCAGAGAGUGGUUGAUUUUCUGUCAUCUCUCUCUAAAAUCAAUCAUCUGAAUAAGACAUCUUUAGGAAACCAUGCUACAUUUUCCAAAAUAUCAAAAAAACUUAUUUGAACUUCAUCCAUCCAAGUUCAAACCUACAACAUAAAUGCCAUUAAAUUAUUCAAAAUUGACAAAUCAUAAACAAUUAAGGUCACUCAAUUUCCAUAAAUGAGAAAGAAUUCGAAUCGGACCUGUUGAGAGAAACUGGAUGUGACCCUGGAAACUGUGACAACCCUUUUACCUGCACAUUGGGAAGAUAAAAAGUUCAAUUAUAAGACGAGCAAUCUGCAGAAUGUGACGCGACAGCAGAGUAUAAAACUGAUUGCUAGUCAAAAAGUCACAAAAAAAAUCUAAUAAAUGCCAAAUAAAAUUUUUUAAAAAAAGCCAGUAGUACAGGAAAUUAUUGUCUAAAUGCAUUAUCAAAAUGGACCAAACCAUGGAAUUCCUUCUACUGCAUCACAUACAAAGAGACAGAAGGUGGCAUGCAAAUAUCAAAAAAAUCAGAUAGGACAGAAAGUCAGAGUUUGCUGGAUUACAAGUUUUAGCUAAAUGUACAAGUGUACACAGAAAAAUUUCUCCACCAAUUAAGGAUCCAACAGAUUUAAUUUACAAGAUUUCUUUCCAUUAAAAAGAACAUACAAUGCAUUCAAAAGACAUACAAUACAGAUAAUUGAUCCAUACCCCUACUGAUAACUUAAGUGACUGGUAAACGAACUGCCUCAGUGCUUCUUGCUGUUCGGAGGGGAUAGCAUCUCCUAAAAUGUCAUCAUUUGUCAUCACUACAUCUGUUUCCUGAGUAGCCUGAGAAAUUCAAAACCAAUAUUCAUGCUCCAGCAAAAAAUAGUAGUAAGCGGAACCAAUGCUAAAGUUUCAGCAGCUUAAUGGUAAGCUUUACAGACCAUUCAAAGUAGAUUAGGCACAUGCAUAAAAGCAGUAAACUACGAAUAAGCCAAGAGCACUACUCAUUAGCAUCACUACAGAUUUUGCUACUGCUGAGAAUUAGCAGCCCUUCAUACCAAACAAGUAAAUAAAACAAGGCAGGAGCAAGGGAAAGACGUACAAUAGGCAGAGCAGCAGAAGUUCCAUCAUCAUCAUCAUCUGGCAUGGCAUCACCAUUUAGAUCAAAUUCAGUGGAUUUUUUCCAUUCUGGAGUUCCGGGGCAGACGACCAUAUCGGGUUUCUUUUCAUGAUAAAAGGUGUACAAUGCAUCAAUAUAAUCAGGCUUGUAUAUUCCUGGUGGGCGCGAAUCAGCAAAUAUUUUGACUGCCUGCAUCCAGGUGAAGCCAAAUAUUUCUGAAAAAUGUACUAAUUAACUGAGGAUGGGAAACAAGUUGAGAGAGAUGACCAACCUGAGUGACGGAUAUAGGCAAAGUACGCAUGAGAUAGUGAAUGAUCAUAUACCCAGUUCGAUUAUGUCCAUGAGUGCAAUGCACCAAAAUAUAUUUCUUUGAGUGCUUCUGGCGAGCAAGGAAUAGUGAGACCUAAUAAAUACAGUUAAGCAAACCAUUGUUGUAAUGAACAGUCAGAAAGUUGCUCACAAUAGUAUAUCAUAAAUCCGCAAGAUAUCAUUCACAAAGGAUUAGGAUGAAUUAAAACCAAGCUCGUAACUCCUAAGAAGAAAGUAUAAUGACCAAAUGCAGCUACUCAUCCGUAACACUGGGAAUUAAAAAUAAAUGCACCAUGCCUUCUGUCAUGCGUCACGGAACAUAAACCAGGAAUCUCUUGCUCCUAACUUAACUUUCUGAGUCGCGCUACCUUUCAUUUUUCCAUCUCUAUAUCCAACCCAAAUUUGACACAUUGGCACCAAAUAUAAGAAAAACCUACCUCAUAAACAAAUUGAUUAACGGCCUCAUUUUCAGGUACAGAAUCGCGCCCCUUGCAAGAAAUCUAAAUCAAAAACAACAUUUGAAAGUUAAGGUCUUAUCCCAAUAGAAAAACUGCAAAAAGAGCAAUUGAAUUACUAGAAAAACGAUCCCCACCUUAACAUGUUUUAUACCAUCUUUCUUCAAAUCUUGCAAUGGAUAGUACCGAUAUGUAUUUGUCAAAUCAAUCACCAAGCCAAGCUGAAAACAUUCAGUAAAAGUUCAAAUGGUGCAAUUAUGCUAGCAAUCAGAAUCAUAAGUUCAACAUGGAGUUUAACUGAUCAUGAAGUGCAAACACUCAUAUUAGAUAAAAGCUAGGCAUUCCUCUAUCUUCAGCAACUGAUAUUAAUGGCAUGCUAUUCUUUAAAUGUAAACAUGCUGUUUCUUAUGACUCAUCUAACCAUUAAAUAAAGAGUGUUGGAGAUUUACAGGAAAUAGAAUAUUUUGCAGUAACAAUUACAUAUUCUAUGUAAAAAUUUUAAGAUAUUCUAAAGAAAACAUGACAGCUCCUAAAACCAACAAGAAUGUAAUGGAAGAGAUUUAACUCCAAUGCUUCUACCUUUCUGCCUAACACUCUUUGCUGAUGUAGCACUUGUCUGAAUGAGUAUCUUUUGCCAGGAAUAAUAGCAUCAUUGAAGGAUUCACCCAAUGGAACUUUAGAAGGUAUUAUGCAACCUAUCUCUUGACCAAAAGCUGGACAGUCCAGCCAACCUACAAUGUCACGAGCCAAAGUGAAUAGCAUCAAGAUGCAUCACAUUGACCAAACGGAUCAAAGGAUUUAGAAACAAUAUUGUCUGUCAGAACUCAGAACUUAAAAUAUGAAAAGGAAAUCUGCAGAAAAAGAAUUUCUUUACAGUCCAUCCAGCAUAAGAUUAAAACUACAUACUCCUCCAUAGAAUUUAAAAACUUAGUUUCUUGAAACAAAAAUGGAUAAUAAAAUAGUUUAGCAGCCAAAUUCCUUUCCAUUUCUUUCAGAUGAAUAAGAAGCAAUCAAAUUUCUCUCCAUGCCAUACUUUCAAUGUUUCAGCAACAGGUAAAAGGUGUCAGCAAACACACAACGUAGAAAGAAACAGAUGAAAUUUUAGGACCACGGACUGCAGUAAGAAAGAUGCCUUCGUGGAUACCUGGUGGAAGCUUAUUGUGAGUUUUCUGUCUUUUCGUUUGAAACAUAUCAUCCUGACUAUAUGGUUGUUGUACAUAUUGGGGUCGAUCAUCCAUCCGUUGACUUCUCAUCUUUUGAAUCCUUUGCUCACGUUCCUAGUGCCACAAAAUACAAACAAAGUAAUUAUAUCAAGCCUUUUAAUUGACCGUGCAUAUUAGGUAAACAAAUUCAUAACUGCUUGUACACCAUAAGAUUCAGCUGACCCCUACCCAAAACCCAAAAAUCCCUUUCUGAGCCAUGCAAAAGAGCACAUUUUAUCUUUUGAUGUACAGUCCUUGCCAUGAAAACCUUGUUGAAAGAGGUGGAAAGCAUGGGGAGUCGGAAAAGGACAUUAAAUACUCUCCCAUGGAGUACCCAAUCAAAACUUAAAAGCCUAGAGUCACCAUACCAAUCCAACCAAAAAAAAAGGCAGUAAAGAGGCUGUUCUGAGAAGAAUAUUCUGUCAAGAAAAUAUAAGUCUGGCGACAAACAAAUACUUUUUCAGGUACUUGGAGAAAUAGAUAGCAAAAUAGGUACCCGGCGAGAAAUCUCAACAGCACUCUCUGCAAAUUCAGCACUAUCAUUGUGAUGAACAUGUUCUUCUGGUGCACUGUCUUCUCCUAAGUGCGGCUCAAAAAUCUCAUCAUCCUCUUCUGGCUGUGGAGAGGCAUUUAAGUCCAUUCCAGCAAUCACUCAAGGUGAACAAAGAAACAUCGGUGAAGAAUCCUAGCGACUUUUUUUGCCUAAACAGGAUAAUCACAAAUAUGAGCAUGUGAAUAAUACUCCAGACCAUAAAUUAAACAGAAGCCUGAUUAAAAGUUUAAAAUCCAAAAAGCAGCAGUAAGAUCUAAUCCAGAGGGCAAGGCAGCAAAGUAAAUACAAAAAUAACACAUUACUGUAUGGUUAAAAGGUGCCUCAAGGACAAUAUAAAAUGAUUAAUUCUUGCAUGAGAACCUCAAGGUCCAAAACUAAAAGCAUGCUAGUAAUUUCUUCCACAGUCUCUGUGUAUGUGUGUGUGAAAGAGAGAGAGAUUAGCUUCAUAAUAGAGUAAUAAGGAACGCAAAUAAAGUCUUAACCUGUAAACCAAUCAAAUUAAACUCCAGAUAUUUUCAUUCAUGUAAGUGUAUUAACUCUUCAAGUUGAAGCUUUUAAACAUGCAAGCAACAAGUAUAGAAUAUUUGGUAUUGCUAUUUAUUAUAAUACAGAAGUAAGAUGGGGAGGAAUGGCAGGGCCUACUCACUGUUUUUGCUUUUUUUGGUUGGAGGGGUAUCACAGCUUACAAAAUCAAAAUCUGGGUAAUUCUUCGUAAAAAUUGAUUGUGCUCUUUAUGCAAAUGCUAUUCAUGAAUUUGUCAAGGUGCAUGGAAAAGGGAGCAGGACACUCAAAAUUUAAUGUCACGGCAAGUCUUUUUAAUGCCACGGCAAGUCUUUUUAAUGCAAAAAGAAAGAUUUUCAGAAGACCAGUUUGGGUAAUUUCUUCAGAAGCAUGAAAACAGAAAAUUAUCUAUUCUGAAAAAAAUAAAGAUACCUCUUGACUGACCCCAGCAACAAAAGGUUAAAUAAUGUGUAUAUGAUCCCCUUUUAUUCCAACAUGGAUUUUAAAUGAGAGGCUCCGAAUAACUAUAGUAACAGAUAUAAUUAAAAAGGCCACUUCCACAAUGCCUCUUAAGUGCUAAAUGGAAAAUUUUAAAUAGCUUCAAAUGGCAGCACCAACUUCUCGGAACAAUUUUCGAAAACUAUGCAAUAUAACACGAGAAGGUACAUGCUUUCACACAACUUUCUUAAAUAAUGAGAACAAACCCAAGCAAAGUACAAACAGAAGCGUGCAGGGACAUCUUAGACAUGACCAUUAACAGCGCUGCAGUUGUCAAUACAAAACAAGGAAACCCGCCACGAAUGCCCAAUCAUGCAGAAAAACAUCUUGCCACCCUCGACCGAAACAAAAUGGAGAAACAAACAACUGACAAUGUACCACAAUCACACAAUAACAGGCCUGCAUAAUUGAAAAUAAGUCGUCCAAUCCGCAACAAGCACAACAUCAUACAAAAAAUAAAUAGUCCAAUCCACAACAAGCACAGCUCAUACAAAUAUUCGAUCUUUAUGAGCCAUCAUAAACUUAUCAAACAGAAUUCAAAAUCCCCAGAACCUGAUCAACAUGACACAAAAUGCAACUAUACUUUUCAAACUCAGUAAGUUUUUCUCCCACCAAAAAACUCUUUUGUGGAAAUAAUGAACAUUAAAUUGAAGAAAUUUUUAUUCCCCAACCCCACCACACACACCCCCCCCCCUCCCCAAAAAAAAAGUGAGAGUUCCACCGACAGAACCAGCUAAAUCAUGGUAACAUGAACACCAAAUUUAGCCCAAUAACCACAAAAAAAGAAGUCCAUCCAUUUUCCUACCCAUUCCGUUAAAAUGAACGUACAGAAAAGAAAAAAUUAAAAUCCUAGUUCGGCAAUUACGUAACCCAAAAGCAGUGAAUUAACCAGCAACUAAGUUUGAAAGGGUUUUGGCGCAGAAGAAAACGCGAUGAAGGCAAAUUUAUCGGAAUGAGUUGAAACCUCGUCGAGAAAAAAUUGCACGAAAUAGCAACAAAUAAUUCUGUUUUAACUGAAAAACCCCAUAAUUAGGUAAACGUAUGAUUGCCGAGAGUAGAAAAGCAACUAGUAAACCCUAGAGAGAAAGAGAGAGAGAGAAGAACUAACAAGAAAACCAGAGAGAGUAAGCCAAGGAGAGAUCGCACACCGAUUCAUUUUCUCAAUGAAUCCAUGACGCCGGACAAAAAUAAAAAUUUGGUAGGGAGAAUGGGGAAAUUUGUUUUGGGGGAAAAGGAAAUUUAGAAUAAACUCAUGACUCGUGAGUACCCGCGAGUGUUACAUAAUACACAUACACAUCUACGUAAUUUUAGUGGAGAAAUUUUUUUUUUAAAAAUGGAAAGUAAAAUUAAAACGGAGAAAGGGGGGGCGCGGGCGUGGGCGUACCUUGACAGGGCCUGUGGAGGGCGGUGCAGACUUCAGAGUUCAGAGAGAGAAAGACAAAGAGGGAGAAGCGUGGUGAUGUGAGCUUGGUGCGAGCUAGAGUCGAGCGGGGGAAGGAAGAGCGGGGUAAUAUGGUCAAAGGGCCGAUUAUAUAACGGGACGUGACGUGACUGGGGAAGAAAGGUUGAGUUGCGUCACUUCUCAGUUCUCACUUCAUGCGGUUCGACACGUUACCGUCACCGUUAACGGGUGGAAGCUUACUCUUCUUCUUCGAUUUUCUUCUUUUUAUUUUUAUUUUUAUUUUUUAAUUUUUUUUAGCAGUUUGUCAUUUAUGAUUUGUUACGUCAUAUAUAGUACUAUUCUAUAUGAUUAUCUUUUACCGGUAAUUUCUUCUGGCUCAAUUGGUUCGGCAGUUCCAGAGUAACUGCUGCUUCCACUCCACUAGGCAGUUGCAGGCAGUCUCCUGUGCUGUACCAUAUUAGAAAAAUUAUAAUGCAUGUGUGAUGUAUCCCUCAGGUUUGGGAAUUCAUCGGUACCAUUGGCUUCCAAUGCUUCCAACGUUUGACCACAUGUGUAUUUGGAUCAUGGCCGGAACCCAACCACCGAAUCUAUUUAACGGUCCAAGGUUGUCGCACGAUAAUUCACUCUUUUUUUCUCCUCGCCUAACUCUAACGAGUAUUAAUAAAUACCCAUCCACCAAAAAAUUCGUGAUAUUCGACCUAAUUCGAUUCUAAAAAUGGAAUACUCGAUCCGCAUUAUUUGACCAGAUCAAAAGAUGAUUGGAUACCCGUUUAUAUAUAAGGCGAGUUAGGAUCACAAAAUUAAGAAUCCGCGGAUAUUCGACUCGUCCCCAUAUAUAUUAUUUAUUUUUUUUAUUUUCAUACAUAUACUGUAAAAUAAUAUUUUUAAUAUUAACUAAAUAAUUUCAUCGAACAAAUUGCACUGCAAAUAUGAGAAACUAUUUUUUGUUUACGAGAUCCAUUUGUAGAAGUCAUGAUCUUAUAUUUUUUGGGAAAGAUUUUAAUUGAUGUGGAAAAUUAUAUAUAUAUAUUUAUUUAAAAAGGUAGUACUUAUUUCAAAUUUUCAUUAAUUUUGAAUUCUUUUAAAAUUUUUCCUUUUUAUUGUAUUCUCUUUGUAUAUUUGUUUCUUGGCAUGAGACUUUUUCUAAGAAAAAUCUUUGUUGAGUACUCUUAAAUAUGUAAAAUACAAAAUUAAAUUAGUAUAAAUUAUUUUUAAAAAUUUAAAUGAUGAUGGGAUAGGGGUGGGUACUCAUGGACUUGACCUUCCCUUAAGUGGGUAUCAAAAAAAUGGCUGACCUGCAAGGUGUGAGGCAAGUCAAUCAAAUGGUGCAUGAGACAAAGUACUCAAUGUGUGCCCACCUCUACCGCCCCGUAACAUCGCCCACGAUUACUGUAUUUCGUACUCAUUCAUAUCUUUUUCGUGACCAUAUUUUAGUGGACGCUCCUGAUUAUGAUCCCUCCUAUCAUACCACCAAUUCAUAUCUUUUCGCGACCAUAUUUUAGUGGACGAUUUUGAAUUCAAAACCUCCUGAUUACAAUCCCUCCUAUCAUACCACCAGAUUCAAUCCUCCUUUCUACGUGACCUUAAAAUUUACAUCUAAUUUUUGUUUAUUUUUAUUAUUUUUUUCAUUGACCAUUUUUUUUCUUUUCUUUAUCAUGUUGCUUCAAUCUCAUGGCUGAUUUAUCUUAUGCAAAUAAAUUUGGAUUCAAAUUAGUAACUAGAUAAUGUACAAUUGGAACCCUCGCUCAAUAGAUUUACUUUAUGUUAACAUGCUAAGUAUAAUAUCUUGCCUGCCUAGCUGCAUGCUGUAUGCAGGAGAAUGUUUUGGUCUGGGCGAAUGCUUUCAUCUAAAAUGACUAAUUACUUGCCUCGUUUGGAAAUUAGAAUCAUCAGCUUGGAAAUUUAAACCAAAUGUUGCUUUUACCAAUUGUAAUUCCAUUGUUGAUGAAUCCUUUCGCCAUCUGAUACUUAUAGUUCAAUGUCACUUUAUUAAUUUACCUCAAAGCUUUUAUUAUUGUACGUCUGGAAAUAAAUUAUAAAAAAGUACACGUCUUCACUUUCUAGUCUCUAUAUCUCGAUUCAUUUAGAUAGUUAAAUUUUAUCAUACAUAUACCUUAGUUUUAUUAUAUUACUUUUGUCAAUGUUGACUAAAUUUCAAGCUUAAGUAGAGAUUUCUAGUUAUUUAGACUAACCUCUUAUUUCCGAGAGACUUCCUUGGUUUCAAGGGACAAAUCCACUGAUAUUUUCAUGAAUAGUUUUUUAAUUUUGCGUGUAGAUUUGGAAUCUCAAUCAAAUACUAUGAGAAUAUGUCACGGUAAAUCAUAAGAAAAUGGAACAAAAGUGAAGUUACACUAGAAAUAAACGGGACAAUGUGGUUUAAAAGUAAAAGUAGAAAACAGAAAAUAAAAAAUGGAUCAAACUCACAACACGAGGAAAAUUCAACUAUAGUUGACGCAACAUAAUGUGAUUAGUUUUGUGUCUAAUGAUGCGGCGUUCUAUUGAAUGACAUAUGAGAUGCUUAUUAAUAAAACGCUCAAACUUUGUAACUUUUGUUGUUUCGAUGUAAAAUGUUUUCCAUGAGAAAAUCUUUUCAGUAAAAGGCGUUUUCCAUGAAAUUAUUUUAAUGUUUGGUAAACUUUUAAAAUAUCAUUUCGACAGAAUACGUGCAAGUACUCUGCUCUACGUUGUUUAUCAUUUUUUAAAGGCAUAAACUGAUUAUUUCCCAAACUCGAAAGUAAGCUCCCACGAGAAUAUGCAGUGGUGGUACGAGUAGGCAGUUUGAGAUGUUAGGUUCAUGACUUACGGUAAAUGGGAAAAUAACUUAUGAAGAUCUAUUCUGUAAAUUGUUUUCCGCUAGAUGACGUAAAUCAUUUUCCUAAAGAAAAGGUUUUCAGUAGUCUAAUUGCAUCCAAACACUGGAAAAUUUAAAAAAGAUUUUUCGGAAAAUAUUUUACAUCAAAACAAACAGGCCCUAAAUCCUAUGAUUUUUCACCGAAAAUUUUUUUGCUAACUUAUAUAGCCUUUCAGCAUAUAUGUAAUCUUGCAAAGAUCAUCUGGAGAUGUAAUCUUUUGUAAAAAUAAAGCAUAAUUUAGUCGCAGCUAACACUUACCAAUAGGUCUUACUUAACAACGAUUACUUUGCCAUCAGUAGUAGAACUAUCAAUAUACGUAUUACGUACAGGCUCCAACUACUUUUAUUUUUCCCACAGUAAUACGUCAGGGCUACCCUGAACUUAGCGGGAUAAAAAAGUUUAACUAGUGUAAAAGAAUGUCUGCACAAUAGUGUACAAACUGUGAAGGAAUGUUUAAGUGCAAGAGGGAUUGACUCUCCCUCUUCCCUCCUCAUGUCCUUCAUAACUUCAACUGUUUGGUUCAGAAUUUGAACCUUAAAUCUAACACGAUGUAAUCUCCUUAUCUUGUUUUGAAAGAAGUAUGAAAGAGCAAAGGGACUCUCGGGGAGAGGCCAAAGUAGAAGCCUUCUUUACUCUCUCGGGGUAACGUAUUGAAGUGUUUGAAUGCAUGAUACAUGUAAUAAGAGUGAAGUAUUAUACUUAUCAAUUUUACAGUAAUUUAAGGAAGAAGCUCUUCUCCCCCGAGGGGGAAAAACCCAGCUAAGGGGGUAACGUUCAUUUCUUGAGUUAAAAGAGUAGGAAUGGCAACAGUUUCAUUAACCUUAACAUUAUGUAUAUUAAGCAUUAGUUUGACAUUGAACCUAUUCAAUCAGUUAAUCAGUGACCAAUCAAUGUGUGAGAUAUGAUUAGGUACAUAGAUAACCUAACCUUCUCAUACUUACUCACAGGCCGAAAAAAAAAGAAUUAAUUAACAAAGACUAUUCCAACAUUUGUCCAAAUUAAUAAGAGUAUUUUCUCCAUUUCUUGAAAACUAUUAAUUCAUUUUUUUUUUAAUAAGGAUCACCGGUCACUCCACAGUCGAACAUGUGAGUUUUAAAAUUAAAAACAAAAUAAUUGAUAGAGUGACGAGAUAGAUAGAAUUUAACAGAAAGGAAAAGAAAUUUUCAAGAAACACCAAAAGACAUAGCAAUAGAAUAAAAGUAGUAACCUAACCAAAAAUUUCAAAUAUUUUUGAGUAACCUAACCACUUUUAAAAAUUAUAGGAUGAUUAUCCUAUAUUUUUGGUUGGAACCAUUUCCGCUUUCUAGAUUAGCAACUUUUUCAGUUUUUUUUUUUUUUUUUUUGGUGUGUGUGGAACACCACUGGUCGGUACAGAAAACAAAAAAUAAAAGAUUCCAAGAAACGUAGUUUAACAGCGGCGGAGAGAAGGAAAAAAAGGGGUCGGUGACUCAGUUCCUUCCAGAUUUUGGAUUUCGAGUCUCCUUUUAUCUCGGUUUUUUUUUGGUGUGUGUGGAACACCACUGGUCGGUACAGAUUCCAAGAAACGUAGUAGUUUAACAGCGGCGGAGAGAAGGAAAAAAAGGGGUCGGUGACUCAGUUCCUUCCAGAUUUUGGAUUUCGAGUCUCCUUUUAUCUCGGUUUUUAUCACCCGCUCGUUAGUCAUUGAUUGGCUCUUUAAAACCCUAAUUGAGUUCUCAAACCUAAACUCAAAAUCCUCGUAAAUUCCAGGUUAUUUUACAGGCCGAUCUCAAACGGGCAAUCUAAAGUACGUAGUUCAAACUAAUUUUGUUCAUAGCUGUGUUGUUACGGUAUUCUAGCGACGGAAAUACAUUCACGAUGAUUGUGAUUAUGCUAGCUAAUAUUUUAAUUUUUCUCAAAAUUCCCUUUUGUUGUCAAGUUGUUAUGUGGUUUUAUCAAAACUGGCCGCGUCUGAGAACUCAUGGCAAAAGAUAUGCAAUGGAAAAUCAGGGGUAUUCCAUAAUGAUCUUUGAAUCUUAUUUUGAAGAUUUCCCCAACUGCAAAUAAUUCUGUUUAUCUUUUUUUUUUUUUUUCCUUUUCUUUUCUUCAUGUUCCUGGUCCGAUUUCCUGUUAUUAUAAGGUCUUACUCCUAUUAGUUUUGCUAUCGAGGUAACAUCUUAUGUUGCUGUAAGUAUUGGACGAACGAGAAAUUCUUCUGCUACGGUAUGCGUAUUGCCAUGGUAUGCUAUUAGCAAUUUUAGGAGAAGGAAAGAGAAUAGAACUUGGCUAUCGGCAUUCAUAUACAUACAUACAUGCGCGCGCGCGCACACAUAUACAUACACACACAUGGUACAUAUCUCUUCAUUUUUCAGAUGCCAGAAUGGCAGUAUGCCAUUGAAGAACAGAUCAAGGAUCCAACUUACCAAUCACAGAGUACUGUAGAGCAAAGAUUAGAUUUCCAAGCAUGACUAAUUAGAGAAUACAUGCUUGUCAAGUGUAUAAACCAUGUUUUCUAACAUGUAGACAUUCUAGCAUCCACGAUUGCAUAGUAUGCUAGCAUAUGAUGAUAUUAUUUUUACAAUCAAACUGACAAAUCAUGAUUGUCAACUAUGUAUGCACCGAAAAAUUCGCUCUCAUUAAUUUAUUUUGCUUGUCAGGAUAGUACCUGCCUUAAUUUAGUAUACUGCAAUGCGGGAGGGAGAUUGCUGAAGUUGUGGAUGGUUUUGUGGAUGAAGAAAUGGAGGCCUUACAGAAUGACAAGGUUAGAAACAGAAAGAACAUAUCGAGGAAAGACGGAGAAGGAAGAGGGGCAAUGGAGAGUACUUCUUUCAAAGAUCUUCACGAAAGUAUCGUAUUUGGCAUUCUCGUUAAAGUUCCACCUAGUUAUGUUUACAAGAACGGAAGGCUUGUUUGCCGAGCAUGGAGAGAUCUUAUCUCCAGAGAUGAUUUCAUUGUCCAGAAUUUUAUGGAAACCAAGGCGGAAUUACUAGUGGGAGGGCCAACCUCCAGAAGAAAUGGAUAUUUCGAAGUAAAGCUGAUGGAAGUAGAAGGGGCACUGCAGCUUGAUUGUAAGCUACGAGAUUGUGGACUGUGUCGAAUGGGUCGUCCCAGGUCCAGCUGCAAUGGCUUGCUGCUGCUGAAUCACCCAAAGGAGGAAGGGUUGCUGCAAGUGAUGAAUUUAAUAACCACGGUUGGUUUAACACUUCCAAAGUGCCCUUCGGGCUGUCGGCACAAAGCUUGUGGAUCAGCACUUGGUUUUGACCCCAAUAAGAAGGAAUACAAAGUGAUUCACAUGUACGCUGAUUCUUUCGGCUUUGAAAUCUUUAACUUGGCCGGUCCUCCAGAUGCGGCAUGGAGAAUAAUUCCCGGGCCUUGGGAAGGAUUGCAGGAGAGGCCUUAUGACUUUGAACGGUUUUCCUGGAGUGACCCCAUAUCCGUGAAUGGAAGAGUUUUGCAUUGGCAUGUUGCUUCAAACGAGUACAUCAUCUCAAUGGAUGUGAGCGAAGAGAUUUCAACCAAAACAUAUCUUCCCAAUAUCAGCGAGGAGAUAGAGAGUUAUAAGUAUACUUUGGCGGAAUUGGGCGGGUAUCUUUCUUUUGUGUAUGCCUUGUCCGACAUCCAAGUUGAUAUCUGGAUUCUGGAUGACUGCUUUAGAGGACAGAUUUGGUCAAAGAAACAUAGCAUUCAAUUGGAUUUGAUAAAGUACGUGACGCCAGAGAACUCUUUGCUACCCGCUAACCAUGCCAAUGCUUUGCCAAAUCUUAGCAAACUCGUUGCUGUUGCUGGUCGAGGUUGUGACAUAUUGAUCCUGAAGCAUGAAAACUCUUGCUUGUACAUAUAUGACAUGAAACACAGAGUGAUGAAGAAAUUUAAGAUGAAUAUGAAGAAUCCCAUGUACUUCAUACCUCACAGAAGCAGCCUUCUGCACUGGCGGAAUUCCUGAGACUCGGGUCCUAGUUUCUUGGCUGAUUGUAGUCAUUUCAUUGUUGUGUUCCUCUAUUUUUUAGCAGUAGCGUUUGUUUAUUUUCGAGCAAUUCCAUUCUUUUCUUCCUAAAAUACGAUGAACUACUACUAUGAUACCA